GAUGAACGCUAGCUACAGGCUUAACACAUGCAAGUCGAGGGGAAACGACAUCGAAAGCUUGCUUUUGAUGGGCGUCGACCGGCGCACGGGUGAGUAACGCGUAUCCAACCUGCCCACCACUUGGGGAUAACCUUGCGAAAGUAAGACUAAUACCCAAUGAUAUCUCUAGAAGACACCUGAAAGAGAUUAAAGAUUUAUCGUUGGUGGAUGGGGAUGCGUCUGUUUAGCUUGUUGGCGGGGUAACGGCCCACAAAGGCUACGAUCAGUAGGGGUUCUUGGAGGAAGGUCCCCCACAUUGGAACUGAGACACGGUCCAAACUCCUACGGGAGGCAGCAGUGAGGAAUAUUGGUCAAUGGACGGGAGUCUGAACCAGCCAAGUAGCGUGCAGGAUGACGGCCCUAUGGGUUGUAAACUGCUUUUAUAAGGGAAUAAAGUGAGUCUCGUGAGACUUUUUGCAUGUACCUUAUGAAUAAGGACCGGCUAAUUCCGUGCCAGCCGCCGCGGUAA
Molecule: ribosomal RNA, 508 nt
Filed under: uncultured bacterium
Lineage: Bacteria
Description: partial 16S ribosomal RNA
Rfam family: Bacterial small subunit ribosomal RNA
Source: RNAcentral